CGCGGGCGGAGGCCGUAACGGGGCGGUGACAGCGGCGCAGGGGAGGCCGGGCGCGCAGUCCGCGGAGGGGCAGCGGAAGAAGCGGGCGGGGGCCCGGGGGGCGAGCGCGGAGCCCGCGGAGGUGGCUGAAAGAAAUUUAUCACGUAAAAGAAAUGAUUGAGUCAGUCAAAUUAAGAAGGCAGUGCAUGCUGGAUUUCUACUCACAUUAUGAACAUCUUUGUGAACUUCAAGGCUCUGUCCCACUGAAAGCUGUGAAGGCUAACCUCACUCAAAAUGCUAUUGAUCUAAUUGUAGAUCACAUCAAAGCUACUGACUGGGCACCACUUCUGAAUGCUAUCAGGCAUAAUAAGACUCUUACUUCUAUCGGAAUAAGAAGUUUACAUCAACAUGGUCUUGAAGAAUCAGGUGUUGAAAGAUAUAAAACUUACUUUAGAAGGAGAACUCCAGCAACUCUGUCAAAAGACUUAACUGGCCAACUAUGCAAAGCUGUGAAAGGCUGUCUUAGUAUAUCAGAUGUACUAAAAAAUUUGGAACUGCAGGGUUUGCUUCUGAGGGAAAGAGAUCUAACACUUUUAACAAAGGGCUUGGCCACAGCUUCAUCUCUGGAAAGUGUCUCUUUAGCCCACUGUCCAAUUGGAGAUGGAGGGUUGGAAACAAUCUGUCAGAGUAUAAAGAAUGCAGCUACUAUCAGAUCUGUAAACUUCACGGCAUGUAGCCUGACAUGGCGAGGGGCUGAACAUAUAGCAAAUGUAUUAAAGCACCAGGCAAUGAGAAGACAUGGUGAAGCUUGGGCUGAAAGCCUGCGUUACAGGCGACCUGAUCUCGAAUAUAUGACAGGCUUGAGACGGGUUACUUUGAACUGCAACAUGCUUGUUGGAGAUAGAGGAGCAAGUGCCUUUGCAGACUGUCUAGGAGAGGACCUUUGGCUGAAAGCACUUGAUUUGCAGCAGUGUGGAAUAUCCAAUGAGGGAGCAAGAUCAUUAUUAGAUGCUCUUCAAACUAAUACAACAUUAGUGGUACUUGACAUAAGAAAAAAUCCAUUAAUAGGUCAUGUUCUGAUGAAAAACAUUAUUGAAAGAGUUCUUAAGAACGGAAAUAUUGCUAAUUCAGAGUAUAAGUGGCUGACAUCUCCAUCUUCCAAAGAUGCUUUGAAAAAUAGACCAAAGAAAAGAACUAUUGUCCUAGGAAGUGGUCGAAAAGGAAAAGCUACUAUUCGUAUUGGACUAUUGUCUAAAAAAUCAGUAAGUCCUGGGAAAAAAAUUACAUCUGUCAAAGAGAGUUACUCACCAAAACCACUACCACCAGGCACAAAAGGCUUCCUUCCUUGGCGGACUGCAGAACGUGCAAAGAGAUGCAGAGGUGGGGCUCUUGAUCGUACUGGAGAAUUGCCAGUGGAGAUUCAGACAGGUGUUCCUGUGAAAGUGACAGUAGAAAGUGCUUCUACAUUUGAUACUGAAGACACAGAAGAUUUAGGUGAUAUCAUCCACUAUCCUGAUCUGGCAAGAUCAAUUGAUAAGAUUAAUGUAACAGAGUAUCAACAAUUAGAGUUGGAGCUGGAAGAAUGCAUGUUAAAACUAAAGGAAGAACAAAGAGCUAGAGAGAAGGCUGAGGAACGAGUAACAGAGCUGGAAAUUGAAAAUGCAAGAUUAAGGAAUCUAAAUAUCUCCCUAUCCGAGGUUCUUCAUGCACAGUCAGUAACCAGCACGAUUUUGGAAGACGAAGGUGUUCUAGGCAGCAUUGAGAACUCUUUUCAAAAGUUUCAUGCUUUUUUAGACCUCCUUAAAGAUGCUGGACUUGGACAACUUGCUGUAUUAGCUGGGAUAGACCAGUCAGAUUUUGGCCUUUUGGGGCAUCCGCAAAUGAAUUCUACUCUCAGUAAGCCUGCUAACAUGGUAAAGGAGAAGUCUUUUGAAGAAGAAAGACAGGAACAUAACCAGAACAGCAAAUAUCUUCAUUGGAAUCUCUCAUUUCAGAACAGAAUAGGGGACAUCCAGCUGUCUCUUCCUGGUACGUUUCAAUCCCAGAUGGUUAUGAAUAAUGCCUUUUCUGCACUUAGAGAAAUACAAGAACUUCAGACUGCUGGACAGCAGUACCAGCUAGGCUCAUGGAAGGAAACUGAAGCUCAAAGAAUUGACGAAAAUAAAGAGGAUAAGCCUCGCAGUAGUACACCAAUAUUCUCUGAGCGGAGAGUCAAACAAAAUGAACAAGCAAAAGGUCACUCAGCAAGGCAGUUGCAUUCAUUUGCUGAUUCCAGUGUACAUAUUAAAAGUGAUGACAGCAGAGUAUCCAGUGGUAUGUCUGUUGAAAAAAGCAAAAAUUCUUCCUCUAAGAAAUGCAUCCCUAGAGCAAAUGAAACGGCAGCUCCAGCUACUGGAGCGAGAGGAAACCAAAGUACACUACAAGCAGUAAACAGCUCUGGAAGUGACACUUUAGGAUCUGGUUCUGAAAUACAGGAAAGUAUACAAAGUGUUACCAGCAUUUGAAAUGGUUCUAAAAUGUUUGGACUGUUCUUUACACUUGGUAUAUUAAUAAUAGAUUUUGGAUGUUUCAGUAUAGUUUGUGAAUUUUUUGUAAGGUAAUGAAGACUUUGUUUUUAAAACAUUGCAUGUUUUUAAAACAUUGCAUGUUGUUUCAUGUUUGCAUUCCUUGUCAUGAGAUUUUGAAUUUUGGAAACACAUGAUACACUUAAAAUGGUACCUGUCAGUUUGUACUACAUACAGAGGACUCCUGGCAUAUGGAUUUCAUUACCUACACUGAUCUUGGUGUAAACUGUUUUGAGCCAAUAAAGUUAAUUUGAGUACAGUUUUUUUCCAGUGUUUAUUUCAGUGUAUUCCAAGGUAGGGCAAAAACGGUUUUGGGGGAAACAUCAAUUCCUGCCUAACAGUGUGUGGGUAUGACAUUUCCAAAAGUAGUGGAAGUUUCAGAUUCAAAAAUGAACCCAGAAACAUCUCUGCAAGAAAUCUUUAAAUAUAACCAUCUUAUUGUAUACCAGUCAUACCAGUUAUUAGUAUGAUGCAGAUUAUAGAGUAACACACACUGGAAGGGACCUUUGGAGGAUGUCUAGUCCAGCUCAGUUAGCUUGCUCUCAGGACCUAGAGAAAUGUGAGAAAAUAAAACUAAAAGAAUAUCAUUGUUCUAAAACUCCUGGGAUUUUUCCCCCAGCUUCUUAUUUCAGUCCCUGUGCAUAGGCAGCUGGUUUGCAGCUUCUGAACUAGAAGAUAUUUUUCACAUACAGGAAUUAGGCUGAACUAGGGGGAAAAAUAUUGUAUAACUUUCUUUUUAUUCUGAGUUCUGUCAUGUGAGUUCUGGAACAAGGAAGAUCUGUAGAAAUUGCUGACUCCUAUUGCUUUAUAAUUAUGACAAAACCCAUGAAUCCUCAAAUGGAAGUUUUCUACAGAGCAAAUAGCACAGGUUUACCUUAACUAUUGCAAUAUUGCACAAGUAAUUGCACAAUGAAAGUAUGUUCUUUGUGCAGACUUUGUCACUUCAGAAUAUUAGAAGGUAAUACGUUAAUCUGUGUUAUUUUUCACAUACUUUCCCAACUGUUUUUCUAAUUCUUCAGUCAUCCUUUGCUUGUGAUUUUGGUUUGAUUGAACAAUUACAUGCAAUCUAUAUAUUCAGCAUUAAAAUGCUAUCUGUUCCUUUUUUUAGAAUUUAAAACUCUAAAGCUAAUCCCCAAGAAAUGCUGGGUAAAAUUAAAAAUUCAAAAGUGUUUGGAUUUGUGAGGUUAGCAAUUAGGAAUCUGUUAUUUGUCCUUAAAAAUACCAAAAAGAACUUAGAACAGUUUAUGUAUUGAAGGCCUAUAAGCAGAUGAUAUAAAAUACCUUUUAUGCUAAGUACUUAAUUUUAUAUAUUCUUUUUGACAAUAUGAAUUAUGUAAAAAAUAAUAAUUUAAAACAAAAUUGAUCAGGCAGUUUGCAAUUAAGAUUGGCAUGUUUUUUUCCAGUGGAUUAAUACUUAACCUUUUUUUUUCUGUAAAAUCAGAAACAUGAAGGAUUCUUCAUCUCAUCACUGGUGCUGUGGUAUAGCACUCUUCCUGCUUCCGAAGAACUACUUUUCACAAUUCAGAACUGCGAUCUCUGGCAAACAAAUUAACCUCAAACCCCUGUUUGAACUACCUGUAUUUUAGGUUUCAGCAAAAUUUGCUUGUCUCACUACUUUGCUGUACCAGACAUUGCAGCUGCCUCCAGAAACAGUUGCCAGGUUGCUAUGUAGUCAGUAUUAUUUGUCUUUAGUAAUGACGUCAGUUUGUCAGGUAUAGUACCAGAGAGAGAACUUGUGUACACUUGCUCUCCUUGAGUGAGCUGAUCCUUUUCCAGCAGUUGUCAAUCAAUGCUGUCCAGCAUAACAUGAAGUUACCAUGAGCCUAAUAAAAGUUCACUGAAAACUCUGAAACUUUA
Molecule: RNA transcript, 4400 nt
Organism: Corapipo altera (White-ruffed manakin)
Lineage: Eukaryota; Metazoa; Chordata; Aves; Passeriformes; Pipridae
Gene: CEP78
Gene name: centrosomal protein 78
Exons: 17
Source: RefSeq, a predicted model, not a curated record